This 676-nucleotide ribosomal RNA is filed under the name uncultured bacterium. Its description in RNAcentral is "bacterial SSU rRNA". It matches the Rfam family "Bacterial small subunit ribosomal RNA", at positions 153 to 845 of the family's 1533-position model. The record is from RNAcentral.
GAAACGACUGCUAAUACCGCAUAAGCCCACAGCUCGGCAUCGAGCAGAGGGAAAAGGAGCAAUCCGCUUUGAGAUGGCCUCGCGUCCGAUUAGCUAGUUGGUGAGGUAACGGCCCACCAAGGCAACGAUCGGUAGCCGGACUGAGAGGUUGAACGGCCACAUUGGGACUGAGACACGGCCCAGACUCCUACGGGAGGCAGCAGUGGGGAAUAUUGCACAAUGGGGGAAACCCUGAUGCAGCGACGCCGCGUGGAGGAAGAAGGUCUUCGGAUUGUAAACUCCUGUUGUUGAGGAAGAUAAUGACGGUACUCAACAAGGAAGUGACGGCUAACUACGUGCCAGCAGCCGCGGUAAAACGUAGGUCACAAGCGUUGUCCGGAAUUACUGGGUGUAAAGGGAGCGCAGGCGGGAGAGCAAGUUGGAAGUGAAAUCCGUGGGCUCAACCCAUGAACUGCUUUCAAAACUGUUUUUCUUGAGUAGUGCAGAGGUAGGCGGAAUUCCCGGUGUAGCGGUGGAAUGCGUAGAUAUCGGGAGGAACACCAGUGGCGAAGGCGGCCUACUGGGCACCAACUGACGCUGAGGCUCGAAAGUGUGGGUAGCAAACAGGAUUAGAUACCCUGGUAGUCCACACCGUAAACGAUGAUUACUAGGUGUUGGAGGAUUGACCCCUUCAGUG